This 543-nucleotide ribosomal RNA is filed under the name Ochromonas sp. CCMP1393. RNAcentral describes it as "partial Bacterial large subunit ribosomal RNA". It matches the Rfam family "Bacterial large subunit ribosomal RNA", at positions 2267 to 2809 of the family's 2925-position model. Lineage: Eukaryota; Chrysophyceae; Chromulinales; Chromulinaceae. The record is from RNAcentral.
AGUUUAACUGGGGCGGUUGCCUCCCAAAAUGUAACGGAGGCGCCCAAAGGUUCCCUCAGCCUGGUUGGCAAUCAGGUGUUGAGUGUAAGUGCACAAGGGAGCUUGACUGCGAGAGUGACAGCUCGAGCAGGGACGAAAGUCGGGACUAGUGAUCCGGCGGCACGUUGUGGAACGGCCGUCGCUCAACGGAUAAAAGGUACCUCGGGGAUAACAGGCUGAUCUUGCCCAAGAGUCCAUAUCGACGGCAUGGUUUGGCACCUCGAUGUCGGCUCGUCGCAUCCUGGGGCUGGAGUAGGUCCCAAGGGUUGGGCUGUUCGCCCAUUAAAGCGGCACGCGAGCUGGGUUUAGAACGUCGUGAGACAGUUCGGUCCCUAUCUUCCGUGGGUGUAGGAUACUUGAGAGGAGUUGCCCCUAGUACGAGAGGACCGGGGUGAACGUUCCACUGGUGGACCGGUUGUUGCGCCAGCAGCAGUGCCGGGUGGCCAUGAACGGACGGGAUAACCGCUGAAGGCAUCUAAGCGGGAAGCCCCCCUCAAAACAAGG